This 253-nucleotide ribosomal RNA is filed under the name uncultured Levilinea sp. RNAcentral's name for it is "partial 16S ribosomal RNA". It matches the Rfam family "Bacterial small subunit ribosomal RNA", at positions 524 to 776 of the family's 1533-position model. Lineage: Bacteria; Bacillati; Chloroflexota; Anaerolineae; Anaerolineales; Anaerolineaceae. The record is from RNAcentral.
GACGUAGGAGGCGAGCGUUAUCCGGAUUUACUGGGCGUAAAGCGCGUGCAGGUGGUUGGAUAAGUCGUGCGUGAAAGCUCCGCGCUUAACGCGGAGAGGCCGUGCGAGACUGUUCGACUAGAGUCAGAUAGAGGCAAGUGGAAUUCCGGGUGUAGUGGUGAAAUGCGUAGAGAUCCGGAGGAAUACCAGUGGCGAAGGCGGCUUGCUGGGUCUAGACUGACACUCAGACGCGAAAGCAUGGGGAGCGAACGGG